GACGAACGCUGGCGGCGUGCUUAACACAUGCAAGUCGAACGGUGACGGAGAGCUUGCUCUCCUGAUCAGUGGCGAACGGGUGAGUAACACGUGGGCAACCUGCCCAGACUUCGGGAUAACGCUUCGAAAGAGGUGCUAAUACCGAAUACGAACGCCGUGGGCAUCCACGGUGUUGGAAAGUUUUUCGGUCUGGGAUGGGCCCGCGGCCUAUCAGCUUGUUGGUGAGGUAAUGGCUCACCAAGGCGACGACGGGUAGCCGGCCUGAGAGGGCGACCGGCCACACUGGGACUGAGACACGGCCCAGACUCCUACGGAGGCAGCAGUGGGGAAUAUUGCGCAAUGGGCGAAAGCCUGACGCAGCAACGCCGCGUGGGGGA
This 377-nucleotide ribosomal RNA is filed under the name uncultured bacterium. RNAcentral describes it as "bacterial SSU rRNA". It matches the Rfam family "Bacterial small subunit ribosomal RNA", at positions 28 to 408 of the family's 1533-position model. The record is from RNAcentral.